This 482-nucleotide ribosomal RNA is filed under the name uncultured bacterium. RNAcentral's name for it is "partial 16S ribosomal RNA". It matches the Rfam family "Bacterial small subunit ribosomal RNA", at positions 30 to 507 of the family's 1533-position model. The record is from RNAcentral.
AUUGAACGCUGGCGGCAUGCUCUACACAUGCAAGUCGAACGGUAACAGGCCGCAAGGUGCUGACGAGUGGCGAACGGGUGAGUAAUGCAUCGGAACGUGCCCAGUCGUGGGGGAUAACUACUCGAAAGAGUAGCUAAUACCGCACACGAUCUAUGGAUGAAAGCGGGGGACCGUAAGGCCUCGCGCGAUUGGAGCGGCCGAUGUCAGAUUAGGUAGUUGGUGGGGUAAAGGCUCACCAAGCCAACGAUCUGUAGCUGGUCUGAGAGGACGACCAGCCACACUGGGACUGAGACACGGCCCAGACUCCUACGGGAGGCAGCAGUGGGGAAUUUUGGACAAUGGGCGCAAGCCUGAUCCAGCAAUGCCGCGUGCAGGAAGAAGGCCUUCGGGUUGUAAACUGCUUUUGUACGGAACGAAACGGCUCUGGUUAAUACCCGGGGCUAAUGACGGUACCGUAAGAAUAAGCACCGGCUAACUACGUG